GGAGAGAUGCCCGAGAGGCUGAAGGGGCUCCCCUGCUAAGGGAGUAUGGGCUUUAAAUCCCAUCGAGGGUUCGAAUCCCUCUCUCUCCGCCA
This 92-nucleotide transfer RNA is filed under the name Arenimonas sp. Its description in RNAcentral is "tRNA-Ser". It matches the Rfam family "tRNA". From Rfam's summary of the family: Transfer RNA (tRNA) molecules are approximately 80 nucleotides in length. Their secondary structure includes four short double-helical elements and three loops (D, anti-codon, and T loops). Lineage: Bacteria; Pseudomonadati; Pseudomonadota; Gammaproteobacteria; Lysobacterales; Lysobacteraceae. The record is from RNAcentral.